AAUCCAUGGUGUGGACAGUCUCGCUGGAAGAACUUGAAUCUGAUCCAUGCAUCUUUGAAAACUCUUCAGUCUCCUGCAUGAAUAUAGCAAUUUUGCUCCUCAAGUCU
This is a small nucleolar RNA of Brassica oleracea var. oleracea, 107 nucleotides long. It matches the Rfam family "Plant small nucleolar RNA R71". Rfam says of the family: R71 is a member of the C/D box family of snoRNAs containing the C (UGAUGA) and D (CUGA) box motifs. Multiple nearly identical copies of this snoRNA have been identified in Arabidopsis, and it is thought to function as a 2'-O-ribose methylation guide for 18S ribosomal RNA. The record is from Rfam. Lineage: Eukaryota; Viridiplantae; Streptophyta; Magnoliopsida; Brassicales; Brassicaceae.